CUACGGGUCGCAGCAGCUAAGGAUAUUUUACAAUGCGCGAAAGCGUGAUAGAGCAAGUCAGAGUGUUUCUCAAUUAUGAGAGACUUUUGCCAACUGUAAAUAGGUUGGCGAAUAAGGACUGGGCAAGACUGGUGCCAGCCGCCGCGGUAAUACCAGCGGUCCAAGUCGCAGCCACAUUUAUUGGGUCUAAAACAUUCGUAGCUUGUUUUGUAAGUCUCUUGUGAAAUUCUAGUUCUCAAGACUAGAGCGGGCAGGAGAUACUGCAGAACUAGAGACCAGAGGAUGUAAGGAGUACAGUUAGGGUAGUGGUUAAAUACGUUAAUCCUAACUGGACUAACAAUAGCGAAGGCACCUUACAACGACGGAUCUGACAGUGAGGGAUGAAGGCCAGGGUCGCAAAACGGAUUAGAUACCCCUGUAGUC
Molecule: ribosomal RNA, 423 nt
Filed under: uncultured archaeon
Lineage: Archaea
Description: partial 16S ribosomal RNA
Rfam family: Archaeal small subunit ribosomal RNA
Source: RNAcentral